AGUUAAUGCAAGUCAGGACAGUGAAACCUGGCCUUGGCAGCCUCAUUUUGCCAUCCAAAGAUCUGUGAAGACAAUGGCCCACAGCGAUGGGCUCACAGGUCAGGAUGUGGGUGAGCAGCUGGCUUCCCACAGCCAGGGUGCCACCAGGGCCUCCCACCCAUGACAGGGCACACACAGAGGGGUUGGCAGCAGCUACCCGGGGUUGGCACCUCCCUGCUGGGGCACAGAUGGUGACAAUGUCCCCUCUCUGCCUCUCCCAGCCUGCAACUGCAACCUGCACGCGCGGCGCUGCCGCUUCAACAUGGAGCUGUUCAAGCUGUCGGGGCGCAAGAGCGGCGGCGUGUGCCUCAACUGCCGGCACAACACGGCAGGCAGGCACUGCCACUACUGCAAGGAGGGCUUCUACCGCGACCUCAGCAAGCCCAUCUCCCACCGCAAGGCCUGCAAAGAGUGCGACUGUCACCCCGUGGGUGCGGCCGGCCAGACCUGCAACCAGACCACGGGCCAGUGUCCCUGCAAGGACGGCGUCACCGGCAUCACCUGCAACCGCUGCGCGAAGGGCUACCAGCAGAGCCGCUCCCCCAUCGCCCCCUGCAUAAGUAGGUGGAUCCUCUUCCUUUCUGUGGAGUAGGGAUUUUAACCCUUAAAACCCUGCCAGAGCCGCUGCCCAGGCUGGGGGUGCUGAACCCCACAGCGCUCGGGGUGUGGGGCUGUUUGGGGACCCCUCUGCUCUGCCCAAACGGGGUCCUGAACCCACAGCAGCUUCCAGCAGCUCUCCUGCCUCCUUGGGGUGUUCUGUGAGUGCAUCUACAGCCAGGUUUGCUGGGAAUUCCAUUUUGCUUCAUGGAACAGAGGUGCUCUAAAAUCACAUUUUUUGUGCUUAGGGGGAUCGCUACAGAUCACUAGAAACACGUUCUUCUCUCCAAAAUCAGGCUGUGCUGCACUGGCACGGAGCUCAGACCACAGGAGCUGCUCCUUUGAUGCAAUUUCCACCACAUCUGAGACCCCCUGGGUUGCUGCAGGGGCUCCAGCACUCACACAGCCCUGCCACGGGAGGGGUUAUCCUUGGCUUCCUUGGGUUUGCUUUUCAAUUUGCCUUCCCAAGGCAGGAACAGAUCCCAAAAUGCCUCCUUUGCAGCCUCUGUUCUGCAAACACCUGGAUACCCUCUCUCUCCCUGCCUGGGAAGGUGGGGUUCAGUCCUGUGCCCCUCUCUGCUGCCUGUGGAGUUUGCUGCUGUUGGACCUUCCAGUGCCUCAUGCUCCUUGUGGGACAUCAUCUGCCCUAACAAAACAAAAUAUCGAAAUUAGUGUG
Molecule: long non-coding RNA, 1312 nt
Filed under: Zonotrichia albicollis (white-throated sparrow)
Lineage: Eukaryota; Metazoa; Chordata; Aves; Passeriformes; Passerellidae
Description: lncRNA (ENSZALG00000009351.1)
Source: RNAcentral